Long non-coding RNA from Rhincodon typus (whale shark), 867 nucleotides. RefSeq lists it as uncharacterized. The record is from RefSeq and is a predicted model, not a curated record. NCBI's taxonomy places the organism in Eukaryota, Metazoa, Chordata, Chondrichthyes, Orectolobiformes, Rhincodontidae. The transcript is spliced from 5 exons.
CUCUGAUGUUGCCUGGCCUGCUGUGUUCCUCCAGCUCCACACUGUGUUAUCACAAUUAGGCUGCUCUGGGUUCAUCACCUCCAGUGCCACCCGAGGGGUUAUUUCAGAAUCAGCUGAAUGGUGUCACUGAGAACAGUUGGCCCCGAGGUCCUCAUUGGAUAACAUUGCCCUCAAAAGCAGUACCAAGGAACUACAUUUCUGUAGCGCCCUUCAGAAGAGUUGGAGUAUCAAUUUCAAGAGCUCAUGGGGCGGACCAAGAGCCUGGAGAGAACAGGAGCCAUUGGAGAGUACAAUGUAGGGAAAUCGUUAAAGGAGCAGAGAAAGAUCAGAAGCACUCUUCAUUUUGAGGUUAUACAGUGGCCACCUUUGCUUGCCUGCCAAGUAUCUUGAAAAGGCAGGACAAUCUACCUGAAAGAAAAAGUCAUGAGAGAGAUAUCUUCUGGGAAAGGAUGAGAAAUGUGCUGAAUUGUCCAACUGAUUGGCCACAGUAAUUCAAAUAUUGAAAUGAGAACUACAUUAUGAAGAAAGAAAAAACCCCAAAGAGCUGCAGAUGCUGGAAAUCUGAAACCAAAGUAGAAAUUGCUGGAGAAACUGAACAUAUCUGGCAGCAUCUGUGGAAAGAAAGCAGAGGUAACAUAUUUGGUCCAGUGACGAAUAUUGGUUAAUGCCAGUGCUUUAUGACUACCCACCGGUUUCAGAACUUGUGGCACUAAAAUAAACUGGGGUGUACAAAGUCAACUCACGACAGUUUACUGCCACUGAGAUCCCACAGGUCUAAAUAAAUUUAAGAUGUGUAAGAUAUAUCAUAGGUUCUGUGUUCCAGCAGUAACAACUCACUAUUUGAUAAAAAUAAAAAUCCAAACAUAA